Molecule: long non-coding RNA, 1024 nt
Organism: Panicum virgatum (switchgrass)
Lineage: Eukaryota; Viridiplantae; Streptophyta; Magnoliopsida; Poales; Poaceae
Exons: 3
Source: RefSeq, a predicted model, not a curated record
ACUAAAGGCUUACCACCCAAUGUGUUCAUGGAACACAUAGCCGGCAUGGGUUUAAGGGAAAGCCUGUGAUUUCUGGAGAAUAAAAAGGGCCCAAAAGAUAAAGAAUUUGUUUCAAAACAGUGAUGUAUAUGGUAGCUGUUGACUCUAUCGGUCUUGGACCGUGACGAUAAAGCAUGCUCUAUUUAUCAAUCUGUGAUGGAACAACUAAAGGAAAAAGUUUCAUGUUAAAGUAUAAAGUUAAAGUACAAAGUGAGAUCAAGGGGGAGAAUGUUGGAUUGAUCUUUUUCCUAAUAGACCCAACGGUCUAUUAGGCCCCUAAUCCGCGCCCUGAUCGGGGGCGCCCAACCCUUAAUGGUUGGUGGGCCCCCGCUGCACAACGCUAAAAUAAAAAGGGGUGAAGGGGCCAGGGCACGCACAACGAAGUUCGUCGCGCCGCUAGUACCCUCUCCCACAUCCUAAACCCUAGCCGAUCUUGAAAGAGCGCUGGAGCAGCGGGAAGCCCCACCUUCGCCUUCUUCACUGCAGCCGACUCCUUCCCGCCGUCCCCGUCACCGUCCUCGACACCGUCGGCUCGGCGUCGACCUCUCUGCUUCACUCAUCGCCGCCCUUGAGCGGAUCUCCAUCAACGAACCCGAGAUGGCCGCCGGAUCGAGCUCCACUGGUGGUACAGAAGGUCAGCUCUCCUCAUCAGCAAUCUGACGAAGUGAGUUAACGUUCGAGAAGGAUAGGAGCAGGUGGAAUUUUGCAGCCGGCCAAAGCUAAGAGGAAUAAUUAAAGAGACCAACACUGCAUGAGGCAGGACCGCAGGAGCUGAUUAUUUUUUCUUCCCGGAGUCCAUCAUCAAUGGGAUAUUAGUUGAAAGUCAAUUUAUUGCGACACGGACUGAACUUCUGCAUAAAUUGGAUGUUAGACAGAUAUGUCAUGUAUAGGUGAAUUUUCUUCAGAAAAAAAAUGAUGUGCUACAAGCAAAAUAUGACCUAUGCAAAUUCUGUGUCUUCUUCGUAACUCUUAUAAUAUUAAUAUG